RNAcentral lists this long non-coding RNA (1507 nucleotides) under Homo sapiens (human). RNAcentral's name for it is "HSALNT0367053". Lineage: Eukaryota; Metazoa; Chordata; Mammalia; Primates; Hominidae. The record is from RNAcentral.
UUUUCACACACAUGAAGGAGUGCAACCACACCACCCACAGACUUCAAAAUUUACACUGGCUCGUCAUUCAGUUAAGGAUCUUUCCUAAAUUGCCUUCCUUGUUAUUUUGAAUUUUCUCCCUGACCUUCCUCCAGUUCCCUGAAAUGGCUUCACCUCUGUCAGCUUCUCCCUCACUCUGUGGCUUCAGUAUCAACCAUCAAGUCCUGGAGAGGACUGGCUUCCUGUUCCACCAAUAAAUCCCUGUCAGCUGAGGCGGGUGCAUAGCGAGAACUCUCCUUGCUGCCUUUUUUCCCAGCCCAAUUCUUCCUGCUCAUCCCUACCAAAUUCUUUUUCUCCCAGAGAGGUUUUUAUGACAUCCUUGCUCCAAAUCCAUUUACAAGAUUCAGUCCAAAAUCAUCAGCUGGAUAUAAUGGACCCCCCACAAUCUGGCAUCUUAAACCUUAUCUACUGCAAUUGCUCUUGCACCUUGAUUCCAGUUAGCAAUGCCUGUUCUCUAUUUUAAACAAUGACUAAUUUAUCCAACUCUAUUCAUUUGCUCAAACUAUUUUCUUGCCUACAAUAGCCUCCCAACAUUUUUCCACUCAAUCUGAGAACUCCCAAGAUUCCUUCAGCUGUUUCUACUACCUUUGGACAUGGAAUUUCAACAUAAAAAAGCAUUUUUCAGAGUUUCACUCUUGUCGCCCAGGCUGGAGUGCAAUGGUGCGAUCUUGGCUCACUGCAACCUCCGCCUCCCAGGUUCAAGCAACUCUCCUGCCUCAGUCUCCCGAGUAGCUGGGAUUACAGACACAGUCACUCUGUCAUCCAGGCUGGAGUGCAGUGACAUGAUCUCAGCUGACUGCAGCCUCCAUCUCCAUCUCCCGGGUUCAAGCAAUUCUCCUGCCUCAGCCUCCCAAGUAGCUGGGACUACAGGUUAUCAUGAGAGUGAGCCAAGGAGGAACAACUAGAGGAUGGAGUGGAGGAUCAGACAAAGCUUACCCAAGAAGUAAGAUAAAGGCUGAGAAGCUGAGGCUUGAGAAGACUUUAGGCAGGGUAAUAGUAAAAGAAGGAUCAUUCCUGGGACAAAGAACAUAAUGGUGCAAAGGUCUUUACCUAAGAAGCAUCAGUACAAGUACUAGGGACAGAGGGGGUAGAAGUGAGACAGAGAGUGGCUGGACAAAACAGGGUUCCAUCAAGCCAGGCCUCACUGGGCCAUCUUAACCUAAAAAUGCAGCUGAGGCCUGGAAGAGCCAUGUAAGCUGGAACAUCUAAAAAAGCUUUUUCCCUCCAUUCAUUUAAGAGGCUUAAGUCAUUUGGAAAAAACAUGUAUCCUAAAAUAUCAAUAAAUUAUAUGCAACUUCUCUCCCUUUAUACUGGAAGUCCUAGAUCUACAGAUAUAAUCUAAGUAUCUGUGCUUAAAUCAUUGAAAGCACAUUUAUAGAACACUAUUUUUAGAAAACUAAAUAUUCUCUCUUAACUAUAGUAUAAGUUUGUGGCUAUUACCUCUAGCAAAUCUUGAGAAACGUAGGAA